GGUAAUAUGGCUGAGCAAGCACUAGACUGUAAAUCUAGAGACAGGGGUUGAAUCCCCUUGUUACC
RNAcentral lists this transfer RNA (65 nucleotides) under Micronycteris megalotis (little big-eared bat). RNAcentral describes it as "tRNA-Tyr". It matches the Rfam family "tRNA". From Rfam's summary of the family: Transfer RNA (tRNA) molecules are approximately 80 nucleotides in length. Lineage: Eukaryota; Metazoa; Chordata; Mammalia; Chiroptera; Phyllostomidae. The record is from RNAcentral.